UUCACGUUGAGACCAGAAACAACUUUAAAAACUGAGAGUAUUCUGAAAAUCUUUAAGAGUAAGAACAAAA
RNAcentral lists this non-coding RNA (70 nucleotides) under unclassified sequences. RNAcentral's name for it is "DUF805 RNA". It matches the Rfam family "DUF805 RNA". The record is from RNAcentral.